AGAAAAUAGAUACCCUGGUAGUCCACGCUGUAAACGAUGAGGACUAGAUGUUGGCUGGGGAAACCAGUCAGUAUCGAAAGCUAACGCGAUAAGUCUUCCGCCUGGGAAGUACGGCCGCAAGGUUGAAACUCAAAGAAAUUGACGGGGGCCCGGCACAAGCGGUGGAGCAUGUGGUUUAAUUCGAUGCAACGCGAAGAACCUUACCUACCCUUGACAUCCUGCGAAUCCCGACUGAGAGUUGGGAGUGCCGAAAGGAGCGCAGAGACAGGUGCUGCAUGGCUGUCGUCAGCUCGUGUUGUGAGAUGUUGGGUUAAGUCCCGUAACGAGCGCAACCCUUGUUCUUAGUUACCAGCAUUUAGUUGGGGACUCUAAGAAGACUGCCGGUGAUGAACCGGAGGAAGGCGGGGUACGACGUCAAGUCAUCAUGGCCUUUAUGGGUAGGGCUACACACGUGCUACAAUGGGGCGUACAGAGGGUCGCGAAACCGCGAGGUGGAGCCAAUCUCUUAAAAGCGUCUCGUAGUCCGGGUUGGAGUCUGCAACUCGAC
RNAcentral lists this ribosomal RNA (547 nucleotides) under uncultured bacterium. RNAcentral describes it as "bacterial SSU rRNA". It matches the Rfam family "Bacterial small subunit ribosomal RNA", at positions 774 to 1316 of the family's 1533-position model. The record is from RNAcentral.